CAGCUCUCCUUCUCUUGUCCUAAGCCUGCAUUCCACCAUGUGCCUGCAGAGGAUUAUGCAGCAGCUGCUGCCAGUCAAGCCUUGGACCUGAGUAUUUGAAAAUAAGGAAAUAAAAAAGACAGUAAAUAAACUGCUGCACUCCAGGCUGUUCCCCGAGUUAUGUGAUACGUGAGAGUGCCAUAUAGGAAGAGGAACAGCACUUCUGAAUUCAUUUUAGUGGUUAAAAACUGGGACUAUGUCU
This 241-nucleotide long non-coding RNA is filed under the name Pan troglodytes (chimpanzee). RNAcentral's name for it is "long non-coding RNA NONPTRT014202". The record is from RNAcentral. Lineage: Eukaryota; Metazoa; Chordata; Mammalia; Primates; Hominidae.